GGGCGCGUAGCUCAGCGGUAGAGCACUACCUUGACACGGUAGGGGUCACAGGUUCGAUCCCUGUCGCGCCCACCA
RNAcentral lists this transfer RNA (75 nucleotides) under Roseomonas sp. RNAcentral describes it as "tRNA-Val". It matches the Rfam family "tRNA". From Rfam's summary of the family: Transfer RNA (tRNA) molecules are approximately 80 nucleotides in length. Their secondary structure includes four short double-helical elements and three loops (D, anti-codon, and T loops). Lineage: Bacteria; Pseudomonadati; Pseudomonadota; Alphaproteobacteria; Acetobacterales; Roseomonadaceae. The record is from RNAcentral. RNAcentral also lists the same sequence under 2 other names.